Molecule: unclassified non-coding RNA, 622 nt
Filed under: Hevea brasiliensis (rubber tree)
Lineage: Eukaryota; Viridiplantae; Streptophyta; Magnoliopsida; Malpighiales; Euphorbiaceae
Source: RNAcentral
CAGCAACAAAUCUCCCCUGGGAGUUGGAUGGAGCCAUGCUCCGGCGUCUGGAGAAGCGAAUACUUGUACCUCUUCCUGAAUCAGAGGCAAGAAGGGCCAUGUUUGAGGAACUCCUGCCAUCACAACCUGAUGAGAUUGAGCUCCCUUACAAUUUAUUGGUGGAAAGGACAGAAGGUUAUUCAGGUUCAGAUAUUCGAUUACUGUGCAAAGAAGCUGCCAUGCAGCCACUAAGACGGCUGAUGGCACUCCUUGAAGACAGAGAGGAAAUAGUGCCCGAGGAUGAGUUGCCAAAAGUUGGGCCGAUCACACGAGAGGAUAUAAAGACAGCCUUAAGGAACACUAGGCCAUCUGCUCAUCUCCAUGCUCACCGUUAUGAGAAGUUUAAUGCUGAUUAUGGUAGCCAAAUACUCCAAUGAAGGCUCACAUCCUCGGAUGUCAUUCUAAAUUCCUCCAUGAAAUGUUUCUUAGUUUAUGUUGUUAUCAGAUAACGUGUACUAUUAUAUCUUUACCAUAACGAGCCUAGAUGAGGACGUGAAAGUCUGAUAAUUAUAUAUAUCAUGGUUUGGUCUCAACAAUUACUUUCCAGUAUCCAUUUUUUAAUGGUUUUUGUAGGAUUACGCGC